ACCUUAAGCUGCCUCUGUGUCGCCUUUGAGAUUCCAGUGAAGCCCUAUCUGGACAUGAAAAAGCUUGCUGGGAAAUGGCACCCCAUUCUAAGGGCAAAGUACGACCCUACAGACCAGCCGUUCUAUACCUACACCAUGAGUCCUCUCAACGACGGGAAUGUGAUUCUCAAAGUGGAAGUUCCUCGAGUGAGGGCCUGCCGGCUAAAUUUCGUGGCUUUGUACGCUAUCCAGCCUGGCGUCUUUGAAAAUGCAGACGGCAAGCUGACGGUACAUCUUGUGGACACAGAUUAUGACAACUAUCAUAUCAGUCAUACCGAAAGGGAUAACAUGGCCUUCAUGAAUCUCUAUGGCCGGGAAAAAGAGGUGUCGGAAGAAGUGACCAAAAAGUUUCUGGAUAUGGCCCAGAAAGUGAUGCUCAACCCGAUGCUGCUGUUCUAUCAACACAAGACUGAUCUCUGCCUAAGUCCGCCACAGAAAGCAUAAGUAAAAUUCCUGCAAAGGGAGAGUGGGGGGAUGUUAGUGAAAUGAACAUUUCCCUAAAACCCACUGCCAGUUUUAUAACCGGUCGGACAUGGUGAUAAUGUCCUUUUCAGCAGUAAUAAAAUGUAUACCGUUCAGAUGUGUGGGUGUCUU
Molecule: long non-coding RNA, 633 nt
Filed under: Pogona vitticeps (central bearded dragon)
Lineage: Eukaryota; Metazoa; Chordata; Lepidosauria; Squamata; Agamidae
Description: lncRNA (ENSPVIG00000025670.1)
Source: RNAcentral